RNAcentral lists this ribosomal RNA (116 nucleotides) under Agetocera discedens. Its description in RNAcentral is "partial 16S ribosomal RNA". The record is from RNAcentral. Lineage: Eukaryota; Metazoa; Arthropoda; Insecta; Coleoptera; Chrysomelidae.
AAAAUUCUAAAAGUCGAACAGACUUAAUUAUCUAACUUCUACGCCAAAUAUAAAUUUUAAUCCAACAUCGAGGUCGCAAUCUUUAUUAUCGAUUAGAACUCUCCAAUAAAAUUACG